GUGAGAAGGCCAGGGGAAAGCUUUUCCUCUAAAAAAACCCUAACAUCUUAAUUCUAUCAAAUUGAAAGUGAAAUCAGUGAAGAAUCGAAUGCAUGAGCUAAGAAUCCUGAUUGUCUAAGUAUUCUUGAUCUCAAGCACGAAAAAGGAAGAAGGCGCAAGUCACUCGAAGGCACAAUCAUCUCAGGAUCGCGGUAAAUCUCAUGCUUGAUUGCGGCGCACUCGGACCGAACACACAAGUGUCGACCUUUUACACGCUUCCGGUUCAUGUUGUUGAUUAUGAAUGGGUCAAAGACUUCGUUUUGUCAUAUGAUAUCAAAUUGUGUCUAGUAUGUUAGUAAGUAGCUAGAAUUUCUAAAUCUUUUGGUAUAUUUUGUACAAAAUUGUUCAUGGUGAACCUUAUGGUCACAACUUUGUGGUUUUGA
This is a long non-coding RNA of Helianthus annuus (common sunflower), 422 nucleotides long. RefSeq lists it as uncharacterized. The transcript has 3 exons. The record is from RefSeq and is a predicted model, not a curated record. NCBI's taxonomy places the organism in Eukaryota, Viridiplantae, Streptophyta, Magnoliopsida, Asterales, Asteraceae.